CACGUAGGGACCAAGCGUUUGUCCGGAUUUAUUGGGCGUAAAGCGCUCGUAGGCGGUUCGGUAAGUCGGGUGUGAAACCUCCAGGCUCAACCUGGUGACGCCACCCGAUACUGCCAUGACUUGAGUUCGGUAGGGGAGCGGGGAAUUCCUGGUGUAGCGGUGAAAUGCGCAGAUAUCAGGAGGAACACCGGUGGCGAAGGCGCCGCUCUGGGCCGAAACUGACGCUGAGGAGCGAAAGCGUGGGGAGCGAACAGG
RNAcentral lists this ribosomal RNA (255 nucleotides) under uncultured bacterium. RNAcentral describes it as "partial 16S ribosomal RNA". It matches the Rfam family "Bacterial small subunit ribosomal RNA", at positions 524 to 776 of the family's 1533-position model. The record is from RNAcentral.